GCGUAAGCGAAGCUCUUGAUCGAAGCCCCAGUAAACGGCGGCCGUAACUAUAACGGUCCUAAGGUAGCGAAAUUCCUUGUCGGGUAAGUUCCGACCUGCACGAAUGGCAUAAUGAUGGCGGCGCUGUCUCCAGCAGAGGCUCAGUGAAAUCGAAAUCGCUGUGAAGAUGCAGUGUACCCGCGGCUAGACGGAAAGACCCCGUGAACCUUUACUGCAGCUUGACACUGAACUUUGACCUUACUUGUGUAGGAUAGGUGGGAGGCUUUGAAGCUGGAACGCUAGUUCCAGUGGAGCCGUCCUUGAAAUACCACCCUGGUAAUGUUGAGGUUCUAACUCUGUCCCGUGAUCCGGGACGAGGACCGUGUCUGGUGGGUAGUUUGACUGGGGCGGUCUCCUCCUAAAGAGUAACGGAGGAGUACGAAGGUGCGCUCAGCGUGGUCGGAAAUCACGCGUAGAGUAUAAAGGCAAAAGCGCGCUUAACUGCGAGACCCACAAGUCGAGCAGGUACGAAAGUAGGUCUUAGUGAUCCGGUGGUUCUGUAUGGAAGGGCCAUCGCUCAACGGAUAAAAGGUACUCUGGGGAUAACAGGCUGAUACCGCCCAAGAGUUCAUAUCGACGGCGGUGUUUGGCACCUCGAUGUCGGCUCAUCUCAUCCUGGGGCUGAAGCAGGUCCCAAGGGUAUGGCUGUUCGCCAUUUAAAGAGGUACGCGAGCUGGGUUUAGAACGUCGUGAGACAGUUCGGUCCCUAUCUACCGUGGGCGCUGGAAAUUUGAGAGGAUCUGCUCCUAGUACGAGAGGACCAGAGUGGACGAACCUCUGGUGUACCGGUUGUGACGCCAGUCGCAUCGCCGGGUAGCUAUGUUCGGAAGGGAUAACCGCUGAAAGCAUCUAAGCGGGAAGCCUACCUCAAGAUAAGAUUUCCCUAGGACUUUAUGUCCUCUAAAGAGCCGUUCGAGACUAGGACGUUGAUAGGUUGGAUGUGGAAGCAUAGUGAUAUGUGAAGCUGACCAAUACUAAUUGCUCGUGAGGCUUGACUAUACAACACCCAAGCAGUUG
RNAcentral lists this ribosomal RNA (1056 nucleotides) under Acinetobacter baumannii. RNAcentral's name for it is "bacterial LSU rRNA". It matches the Rfam family "Bacterial large subunit ribosomal RNA", at positions 1893 to 2925 of the family's 2925-position model. The record is from RNAcentral. Lineage: Bacteria; Pseudomonadati; Pseudomonadota; Gammaproteobacteria; Moraxellales; Moraxellaceae.